CUAACCAGGAUUCCCCUAGUAACGGCGAGUGAAGCGGGAAGAGCUCAAAUUUGUAAUCUGGCGGCUUACGGUCGUCCGAGUUGUAGUCUGGAGAAGCGUUUUCCGUGUCGGACCGUGUACAAGUCCUUUGGAACAGGGCGUCGUAGAGGGUGAGAAUCCCGUCUUUGACACGGACUGCCGAUGCUUUGUGAUGCGCUCUCGAAGAGUCGAGUUGUUUGGGAAUGCAGCUCAAAACGGGUGGUAAAUUCCAUCUAAAGCUAAAUAUUGGCGAAAGACCGAUAGCGAACAAGUACCGUGAGGGAAAGAUGAAAAGCACUUUGGAAAGAGAGUUAAACAGUACGUGAAAUUGUUGAAAGGGAAACGUUUGAAGUCAGUCGCGUCUCCUGGGACUCAGCCUCGCCUUGUCGCUUGGUGUAUUUCCUGGGGCGACGGGCCAGCAUCGAUUUUGACCGUCGGAAAAAGGCUUUGGGAAUGUGGCACCUUCGGGUGUGUUAUAGCCCUGGGUCGCAUGCGACGGUUGGGAUCGAGGACCGCAGCACGCCUUUUUGGCCGGGGUUCGCCCACGUAACGUGCUUAGGAUGCUGGCGUAAUGGCUUUAAGCGACCCGUCUUG
RNAcentral lists this ribosomal RNA (612 nucleotides) under Ramaria gelatiniaurantia var. gelatiniaurantia. RNAcentral's name for it is "eukaryotic LSU rRNA". It matches the Rfam family "Eukaryotic large subunit ribosomal RNA", at positions 65 to 656 of the family's 3401-position model. The record is from RNAcentral. Lineage: Eukaryota; Fungi; Basidiomycota; Agaricomycetes; Gomphales; Gomphaceae.